Molecule: ribosomal RNA, 253 nt
Filed under: uncultured bacterium
Lineage: Bacteria
Description: partial 16S ribosomal RNA
Rfam family: Bacterial small subunit ribosomal RNA
Source: RNAcentral
UACGGAGGGUGCAAGCGUUAAUCGGAAUUACUGGGCGUAAAGCGUGCGCAGGCGGUUUUGUAAGCCAGAUGUGAAAUCCCCGGGCUCAACCUGGGAAUGGCAUUUGGGACUGCAAGGCUUGAGUGCGGCAGAGGAGACUGGAAUUCCUGGUGUAGCAGUGAAAUGCGUAGAUAUCAGGAGGAAUACCGAUGGCGAAGGCAGGUCUCUGGGCUGACACUGACGCUCAUGCACGAAAGCGUGGGGAGCAAACAGG